This 94-nucleotide non-coding RNA is filed under the name Curvibacter sp. Its description in RNAcentral is "TPP sequence". It matches the Rfam family "TPP riboswitch aptamer (THI element)". From Rfam's summary of the family: Vitamin B(1) in its active form thiamin pyrophosphate (TPP) is an essential coenzyme that is synthesised by coupling of pyrimidine and thiazole moieties in bacteria. The record is from RNAcentral. Lineage: Bacteria; Pseudomonadati; Pseudomonadota; Betaproteobacteria; Burkholderiales; Comamonadaceae.
CACUUCCACCGGGGGUGUCCGUCACAGGACUGAGAAAUACCCCAUGUACCUGAUCUGGGUUAUGCCAGCGUAGGAAGUGUGAGAAGCCUGUCCC